GACGAACGCUGGCGGCGUGCUUAACACAUGCAAGUCGAACGGAAAGGCCCUGCUUUUGUGGGGUGCUCGAGUGGCGAACGGGUGAGUAACACGUGAGUAACCUGCCCUUGACUUUGGGAUAACUUCAGGAAACUGGGGCUAAUACCGGAUAGGAGCUCCUGCUGCAUGGUGGGGGUUGGAAAGUUUCGGCGGUUGGGGAUGGACUCGCGGCUUAUCAGCUUGUUGGUGGGGUAGUGGCUUACCAAGGCUUUGACGGGUAGCCGGCCUGAGAGGGUGACCGGCCACAUUGGGACUGAGAUACGGCCCAGACUCCUACGGGAGGCAGCAGUGGGGAAUAUUGCACAAUGGGCGGAAGCCUGAUGCAGCAACGCCGCGUGCGGGAUGACGGCCUUCGGGUUGUAAACCGCUUUCGCCUGUGGCGAAGCGUGAGUGACGGUAAUGGUAAAGAAGCACCGGCUAACUACGUG
Molecule: ribosomal RNA, 467 nt
Filed under: uncultured bacterium
Lineage: Bacteria
Description: partial 16S ribosomal RNA
Rfam family: Bacterial small subunit ribosomal RNA
Source: RNAcentral